AAAUGAAUUGACGGGGGCCCGCACAAGCGGCGGAGCGUGUUGUUUAAUUCGUCGCAACGCGAAAAACCUUACCAGGGCUUGACAUGCACCUGCAGGGUCCGGGAAACCGGACCGGCCUUCGAGGGUGGUGCACAGGUGCUGCAUGGCUGUCGUCAGCUCGUGUCGUGAGAUGUUGGGUUAAGUCCCGCAACGAGCGCAACCCUUGUGGUCAGUUGUGAUUUUCUGGCCAGACUGCCGGGGGCAAACCGGAGGAAGGUGGGGAUGAUGUCAAGUCAGCAUGGCCCUUACGUCCUGGGCUACAAACACGCUACAAUGGCGCGGACAGAGGGUAGCCAAGCGGUAACGCGGAGCGAAUCCCAGAAACCGCGUCUCAGUUCGGAUCGAGGGCUGCAACUCGCCCUCGUGAAGGCGGAGUCGCUAGUAACCGCAGAUCAGCAUUGCUGCGGUGAAUAUGUUCCCGGGCCUUGUACACACCGCCCGU
Molecule: ribosomal RNA, 481 nt
Filed under: uncultured bacterium
Lineage: Bacteria
Description: bacterial SSU rRNA
Rfam family: Bacterial small subunit ribosomal RNA
Source: RNAcentral